UGAACGCUAGCUACAGGCUUAACACAUGCAAGUCGAGGGGCAGCAUGUGGUUGCUUGCAACCAAUGAUGGCGACCGGCGCACGGGUGAGUAACGCGUAUCCAACCUUCCCUAUAGUAGAGGAUAGCCCGGCGAAAGUCGGAUUAAUACUCUAUGUUUUCCAAUGCAGACAUCUAAGUUGGAACAAAGGUUCACCGCUAUAGGAUGGGGAUGCGUCUGAUUAGAUAGUCGGCGGGGUAACGGCCCACCGAGUCGACGAUCAGUAGGGGUUCUGAGAGGAAGGUCCCCCACAUUGGAACUGAGACACGGUCCAAACUCCUACGGGAGGCAGCAGUGAGGAAUAUUGGUCAAUGGGCGAGAGCCUGAACCAGCCAAGUAGCGUGCAGGAUGACGGCCCUAUGGGUUGUAAACUGCUUUUAUACAGGGAUAAAGUGACGUACGUGUACGUUUUUGUAGGUACUGUAUGAAUAAGGACCGGCUAAUUCCGUGCCAGCAGCCGC
This 498-nucleotide ribosomal RNA is filed under the name uncultured bacterium. RNAcentral's name for it is "bacterial SSU rRNA". It matches the Rfam family "Bacterial small subunit ribosomal RNA", at positions 30 to 518 of the family's 1533-position model. The record is from RNAcentral.